AUACGUAGGGUGCAAGCGUUAAUCGGAAUUACUGGGCGUAAAGCGUGCGCAGGCGGUUUUGUAAGACAGUGGUGAAAUCCCCGGGCUCAACCUGGGAACUGCCAUUGUGACUGCAAGGCUGGAGUGCGGCAGAGGGGGAUGGAAUUCCGCGUGUAGCAGUGAAAUGCGUAGAUAUGCGGAGGAACACCGAUGGCGAAGGCAAUCCCCUGGGCCUGCACUGACGCUCACGCACGAAAGCGUGGGGAGCAAACAGGAUUAGAUACCCUGGUAGUCCACGCCCUAAACGAUGUCAACUGGUUGUUGGGGAUUUAUUUUCUCAGUAACGAAGCUAACGCGUGAAGUUGACCGCCUGGGGAGUACGGCCGCAAGGUUAAAACUCAAAUGAAUUGACGGGG
This 395-nucleotide ribosomal RNA is filed under the name uncultured bacterium. Its description in RNAcentral is "partial 16S ribosomal RNA". It matches the Rfam family "Bacterial small subunit ribosomal RNA", at positions 523 to 918 of the family's 1533-position model. The record is from RNAcentral.